GGUAGCCGGCCUGAGAGGGCGACCGGCCACACUGGGANUGANACACNAGCCCAGACUCCUACGGGAGGCAGCAGUGGGGAAUAUUGCGCAAUGGGCGAAAGCCUGAYGCAGCGACGCCGCGUGAGGGANGAMGGCCUUCGGGUUGUAAACCUCUUUCAGCAGGGACGAAGCGAAAGUGACGGUACCUGCAGAAGAAGCACCGGCCAACUACGUGCCAGCAGCCGCGGUAAUACGUAGGGUGCAAGCGUUGUCCGGAAUUAUUGGGCGUAAAGAGCUCGUAGGCGGUCUGUCACGUCGGGUGUGAAAGCCCGGGGCUCAACCCCGGGUCUGCACUCGAUACGGGCA
RNAcentral lists this ribosomal RNA (345 nucleotides) under uncultured bacterium. RNAcentral's name for it is "bacterial SSU rRNA". It matches the Rfam family "Bacterial small subunit ribosomal RNA", at positions 282 to 638 of the family's 1533-position model. The record is from RNAcentral.